Molecule: long non-coding RNA, 753 nt
Organism: Neoarius graeffei (lesser salmon catfish)
Lineage: Eukaryota; Metazoa; Chordata; Actinopteri; Siluriformes; Ariidae
Exons: 3
Source: RefSeq, a predicted model, not a curated record
UUCUCCUAUGUUUAUGUUUACACGUUUUGUUCAGACUGCUUUACACCCCAAUCCAGUGGGUGGCGGUAAUGCCCCCAUUAGACCCCUUUCACUGACGUCACCCGAAACCGGAAGUAAACAAACCCUGCGCCAUAUUGGAAGACCAACAAACUCGUGAUUAGGGGGAAAUAAUGGCAGCGUGCGGUAUGUGAACCCACGAGGCACUUGGUUCAUCAAAAACCUACAAUGGUAAACUUUUGUGCUGUGUUAGGGUGUUCUAACAAAGCUGAUGGGAAAGGUGAAAAGAAGUCUUUCUACAGAAUACCAGCUGUGAUUGAGACACAAGCAAACCAAGGAGCUUUCUGCCAGGAGACAGAGAGAGGAUUUAGCUGCUUUAUGCAGAGCGGAUCUGAAUACUUCAAGUCUAUUUUGUUACUGGCAUGAUAUAAAAAAGGGCCAGUACGUAUACGUAGCGAUAUGUCGUUGGAUGUCCCACGCUGUCCCAUAAUGCAGUGCGAUUACCACUGCUGUUUACUGGAUGACGUCAUUUUCGUUAUAUACCUGGGUGCACGUGAAACUCCCACACCACUCAGUUGGAUCGCGACUCUCUUGUGGAUCGGUCUGCUGUUACGCUUGGACCAUUGAAACAACAUUGAGAAAAACACUGGACCACGCUACAUUUUCAUUCAUCCCUGGACAUCUGGUGUCUACCUUAGCCCUUUGUGGAGGAACCGACGUAGGGGUCACAGUGAGGCGGAUGCUGCGUAGCCUCCU